Molecule: RNA transcript, 2831 nt
Organism: Rosa rugosa (rugosa rose)
Lineage: Eukaryota; Viridiplantae; Streptophyta; Magnoliopsida; Rosales; Rosaceae
Gene name: FACT complex subunit SPT16-like
Exons: 4
Source: RefSeq, a predicted model, not a curated record
AAUCUACGUAGAACAAGAAACAAUCAGCAAAAUUGCCGCCAAGCCUAGGGUCUCUCCGAGCCUCCGACCAUCCAAUUUGCGAUCAGGAACGGCGCUAUUUCGCACUAUAGCGUCAUAAUGUACCGAAAGUUUUUCUUAUACAGGGGAGUGAGUUCUUUAUGGUUGAUCCUCCUCUAAAUAGUAAUUACAGACGACCUACUUGCGUGACUCCUAUUAUGGACACGGCAGCGCGUAUUGCUCAGAUGUCCACCACGCAUAGGAGAAUUUUUGGUGAGAGAUUGAAGUUCCUUUAUUCGCAUUGGAACAAACACCGAUCUGAUAUGUGGGGUUGUUCCGAUGUUAUCGCAAUAGGAAAACUACCAGCAUCAAAGGAUCCGCAGUACCGCAAGUCUACGGCAUUGAAUGUCUGGCUGGUGGGUUUUGAGUUUCCAGAGACAAUGAUGGUGUUCACUAAGAAAAGAAUUCAUUUCUUCUGCAACCAAGGUGACUCUUUCAAUCCUGCUCUUCUCAGGAUGCCUGCAAUGAAGGCUGUGGGUGUAGACAUUGUGAGGCAUGUGAUACGAGACGUUGAUGUCUACUCUGCUCUGAUGGAUAAUUUAUUGCGUGACAUUUGCGCUCAAGCAAAGGCCGAUGGCCAUGAAAUUCCUGUUGUGGGACACAUAGGAGGGGAGGUUCCUGUGGGAUUUCUUUUUGAAUCUUGGUCUGAAAAGCUGAAGAAUGCAAAUUUUCGGAUGAGUGAUGUAACUAAUGGGUUGUCUGACUUGUUGUCUGUCAAAGACAAUGAGGAGCUUGUGAAUGUGAAGAGAGCUGCUUUCUUGACUACUAAGGUCAUGAAUAAUAUUGUGGUUCCAAAUCUUGAGUUUGUUAUUAAUCACAGUGAGAAGGUAACACAUUCUUUUUUGAUGGAUGAGAUGGUGAAGGCUAUACAGGAACCCUCUAAAGCUUUUGCAAAGCUGAUUAAUGCAGAAAACGUUGGUAUCUGUUACCCUCCUAUUCUUCAGAGUGGUGUUGGUGGCAAUGAUGAGUUACUUUCAUAUGAUUCUGCUAGUGUGGUCAUAUGUGCUUUUGGAUCCCGUUAUAAGAGUUACUGCUCAAAUGUAGCCAGGACAUUUUUGGUUGAUCCCAAUCCCUUUCAGAGAAAGGCACAUGAAAUUCUUCUCAAGGCCCAUGAUGCAGCCAUUAGUGAGUUGAGGCCUGGGAACAAAGCUAGUUCUGCAUAUCAAGCAGCUCGUUCUGUCGUGGAGAAGGAGGCUCCUGAGUUAGUACCUAAUCUGACAGAAUCUGCUGGGACAGGCAUUGGUAUUGAGCUUGUUGAGUCCCGGUUGAAACUUAAUGCGAACAAUGACCUAGUGCUGAAAGCAGGAAUGGUGUUCAAUGUGUCACUUGGUUUUGAGGACUUGCAGAGUCACAGUGGUCUUACCAAUUCAAAGGAUCAGAGCUUCUCUUUGUUGCUAGCUGAUACUGUUGUUAUUAACAAUGUCAAGCCAGAGGUCUUGACAGUCGAAAGUGCUAAAGCUAUUAAGGUUCCUAGUAAAAUGAAACAAGAUGCUAAUGGAACAGAAGAUCUGCGGUCCAGCAAAAGGAUGAGGUUCAAGCUUGACUGGAAUGAUGAGCUUGACGGGAACGAUGAGCCGACUUUCUCUGUUGUAUCCACUCAGCCUUCCACUUUUUCCCUGGGUGUUCCAUUGCUUUGGUCACAUUCGGGUCUGGCACCUGCUGAUGUACAGACUGACCCUCUCAAUGCCAGAGAGAGGUUGUCAUAUGCGGAAAGGGGGAAGUCCACAGGGAUAAAACCCACAGAGAAAAUGGAUAUGCUAAUAGCCAAGUACUAUAUUGAUGACACAAAGGGUCGUGUGCAGCUAACAGAGCGUACAGUUCCAGUGUCGCAGACAGAAACACCUCCAUGGCAGACAGAAAGAGCUUCAUAUGGUAUACCUUCAUGGAAGAGAGAAAGAUCAUCAUGGAAGAGAGAAAGACCGUCUUCAUUCGUUACACCUCCAUGGGUAGCAAAACCUGCAUUAGGCACACUUGACUGGAAGACAGACAGACCUGUUACACCUCCAAGGAAGAAACAAGGUGCAUUGGGUUAUGCUUAUUGUUUCUUUUAAGCAGCAGAUGUAGAAGUGUUUAGUAAAAUAAAAAUGUCCAGCUUUUUUAUUAAGUUGAGGCUCUUCCAAGUUCCAACCCCAGAAGCAGAAGCUCUUCAAUACUUACUUGUGGAAGCUGCUUAAAGAAUACUGCAACGGAACAUUAAAUGAAAAUUUUGAAAUACCAGAGACUACGCUCGCUCUCUUUGAGAAAUUACAGCCUCUGCGCCAUCUAUCUUCUAUUCUUCUUCGCGCAGUGAAACACUCUCCCUCUGAUUAAAGAGUAACACCAAUUCAUUGUCCAAGGGGGAGAAUGCUCAAAUGGUGAAUAAUCACCCUCAGUCUUGUUCUAUAAUUUUGAUGAUGCUUUGGAAAACAAUGGAGGUAAAUUAUGAGUUGGACAAGGCUGUUGAAGGCCGUCAGAGCCAAAGCUUUACUCUCAAGGCUCCAGUUUUGCCCAGCAUUGGGAGUUUCACUAGUUAUUGCAGAAGGUGAUGCUCUCACAGUUCUUAACAUUUGGAAGACCAGGUGCUAAUCUAAGCGAUGGAGUACUACUUGAUUGAGAGUAGAGAUGGUGCGAGUUGGGUUGUUUGCUUCGAGAUUAGGAUGUCAACACCUGGUGAUCAUCUCUGAAAUAGUUAAUUAUAAUCAUUUUACUCUCAAUGAGUGACUAGUUGAUUUUAUGUAUAUUUGUAACUGUAGGAACUAUGCAAGAGGAGAGCAAUUUAUCAUGUGUUUGAAAUA